GGGUCGUGCCGACAGAUAUGGUGCUUGCUCCUUUGCCGUCAACGGCGGCGGCGCGGUUACAUGUGUAAGACCUACCUAUAAGACUGGGACUUUUCGCCAUACCGGAGCUAAUACCGUAUGGAUUUGCAACGCAUGGUUCUGUGUGAAAGAUGGUUUUGCUAUCACUUAUCGUGUUCCCGCGCGUCCGCCGCUAGUUGGUAAGGAGCGGCUUAUUAUCUGUUCGCUAGACUUGCGUGCUGAAAGGACGCUGGGAGCGACUGUCACUGACCCUUGUUCAACUCUUCAACGGGAGGCAGCAGUAGGGAAUCUUCCGCAAUGGGCGAAAGCCUGACGGAGCAACGCCGCGUGAGUGAUGAAGGGUUUCGGCUCGUAAAACUCUGUUAUUAGGGAAGAACAAAUGUGUAAGUAACUGUGCACGUCUUGACGGUACCUAAUCAGAAAGCCACGGCUAACUACGUGCCAGCAGCCGCGGUAAUACGUAGGUGGCAAGCGUUAUCCGGAAUUAUUGGGCGUAAAGCGCGCGUAGGCGGUUUCUUAAGUCUGAUGUGAAAGCCCACGGCUCAACCGUGGAGGGUCAUUGGAAACUGGGAAACUUGAGUGCAGAAGAGGAAAGUGGAAUUCCAUGUGUAGCGGUGAAAUGCGCAGAGAUAUGGAGGAACACCAGUGGCGAAGGCGACUUUCUGGUCUGUAACUGACGCUGAUGUGCGAAAGCGUGGGGGAUCAAACAGGAUUAGAUACCCUGGUAGUCCACGCCGUAAACGAUGAGUGCUAAGUGUUAGGGGGUUUCCGCCCCUUAGUGCUGCAGCUAACGCA
Molecule: ribosomal RNA, 813 nt
Filed under: Staphylococcus sp. zzqcp-4
Lineage: Bacteria; Bacillati; Bacillota; Bacilli; Caryophanales; Staphylococcaceae
Description: bacterial SSU rRNA
Rfam family: Bacterial small subunit ribosomal RNA
Source: RNAcentral